This 245-nucleotide long non-coding RNA is filed under the name Elaeis guineensis (African oil palm). RNAcentral describes it as "long non-coding RNA (EGUI_LNC025672)". The record is from RNAcentral. Lineage: Eukaryota; Viridiplantae; Streptophyta; Magnoliopsida; Arecales; Arecaceae.
CUCCCUUGGAGAUCCAAUGCCCACAGCUUGGGCAUCCUUCAUCCUGCAUGCCCAAAGGGGUUUGGGUGUUCUUCUUAUUUGCUGGUUUCUAGUCCUUGAUUACUGCAUAAUCUAAGAAAAAAAAGCAAGAGAAGAAGAGAAAAAAAAGAUCAAAGAAAGGAUCAAAGAGUUGAUCGUGAUGCAGAUUUCAUUCAGAUUCGCAAGCUGAUUUUUUUUGAACAAAAAAAAUUAAUUGCAAAGAGAGC